UUUUCCCCAUUUCCCCCGUUUUUCCCCAUUUUUUCCCCUUUUUGGGGGGUCUCCCCCUUUUUUCCCCCCAGUUUUGGGGUCCCCCCUCAAUUUGGGGAAUUUCUGGGGGCGGUUCUUUCCUGCCCCCCCCACUGUUUUUGGGACCCCUCCCCCACCCUUAAGCGCCCCCUUUUUGGGGAAGGGGGGUCCCACCCCUUUUUCCUCAUUUUUCCCUUUUUUCCUCAAUUUUCCCACUUUUUUUCCCACUUUUUCCCUCAUUUUCCCACAUUUUCCCCUCCUUUUCCCACUUUUUUCCCAUAUUUUAUCCACUUUUUUUCCUCAUUUUCCCACUUCUUUCCUCAUUUUCCCACUUUUUUCCUCAAUUUCCCCACAUUUUCCCCACUUUUUUCCCCACAUUUUCCCCUUUCUUUCCUCAUUUUCCCACUUUUUUCCCACUUUUUUUUCCUCAUUUUCCCCCUUUCUUUCCUCAUUUUCCCACUUUUUUCCCACUUUUUUCCCCUCAUUUUCCCACAUUUUUCCCACCUUUUUCCUCAUUUUCCCACUUUUUCCCUCAAUUUUCCCACAUUUUUCCCCUCAUUUUCCCAUUUUUUUCUCUAUUUUCCCACUUUUUUCCCUCAUUUUCCCACUUCCCCCCCUUUUUUUCCUCCCCUUCUCCAUUUUCCCUCCAUUCCCUUUUCCUUUCCCCCAUUUUUCUUCCCCAUUUUUCCAUUUCUCCCCAUCUUUCCCUCCCCUUUCCCCCUUUUUUUUUCCUCUUUAUUUUCUCAUUUCCCCCCUCCACUUUUCCCUAUUUCUCCACCAUUUUCCCCCCUUUUUUUCCCCUCUUAUUUCCCAUUUUUCCCCCAUUUUCCCCCCAUUUUUUCCCCAUUUUCCCCCAUUUUCCCCAUUUUUCCCAAAUUUUUCCCCAUUUUUCCCCCAUUUUUCCCCAUUUUCCCCCAUUUUUCCCCCAUUUCCAGGGGGGGUUUCCUCCCUCUGUACAUAGCCGUGAUUUGCACUUGGUUUGGCCCCUUUACCCCCCAAAAACCCCCGAAAAAACCCCAAAACCCCCCCAAAAAAUCCCCUUUAAUUCCCAUUUCUCGGAGGGGGUGGGGAGGGGCGUUCAGGGGGGAUUUUUUUGGGGUAAAAAACCCCAAUUUUUUCCCCGUUUAGAGGCCUAAUUUUAUAUUGUAUUAAAAACCAAAAGGGCCCGGGAGUUCUCCGUGGCAGAGCUGUAAAAGUUGGGAUAUAUAUUAUAUAAAAAUGCAAUAAAAACGACUCAACGAGCCCCA
This 1265-nucleotide long non-coding RNA is filed under the name Chloebia gouldiae (Gouldian finch). RNAcentral's name for it is "Erythrura gouldiae (Gouldian finch) lncRNA (ENSEGOG00005017964.1)". Lineage: Eukaryota; Metazoa; Chordata; Aves; Passeriformes; Passeridae. The record is from RNAcentral.